Molecule: unclassified non-coding RNA, 400 nt
Filed under: Hevea brasiliensis (rubber tree)
Lineage: Eukaryota; Viridiplantae; Streptophyta; Magnoliopsida; Malpighiales; Euphorbiaceae
Source: RNAcentral
GAAAUGGCAAUUUCUGUUCCAGGUCAAGUGAGCUAAAAGCUUCCCGUUAGAUAGUUUAAUUUAUGGUUGGACUCUGUUCAUUUGUUUUCUUGAAAUUGGAUUACAGUGAUGAAUCUCAUAGUUUAGUUAGGAAUAGUUAGACUUACUAAGAGUUUUAAGAAUCUUAUGUUGAUCUAAAUCUUAGUGCCUGUUCAGCCCAUAAUUUAAAUCGUAACAAGGAAUAUUAUUUUUAAAAUGUAACGUAAGGAAAUGACAAUGAUUGGAUAAAAAACAAAACGCAGAAGCCAGCGUUGUUGGAAGAUCGGUGUGAAAUGUUAAUGGGGAAUCUUAGGAGUACAAUAAUAUACAGUAUAGUAUUAGUACUAAUUCAAUUAUUCAAAUAAUAAAAUGAUAUCUCUUU